RNAcentral lists this long non-coding RNA (275 nucleotides) under Gossypium barbadense (sea-island cotton). RNAcentral's name for it is "long non-coding RNA (GBAR_LNC005607)". The record is from RNAcentral. Lineage: Eukaryota; Viridiplantae; Streptophyta; Magnoliopsida; Malvales; Malvaceae.
UAGGGUUCAAAGGUUUCGUUGAGAUGUCGAAAGAAGCAAAUGAGCAGAAUGCCCUAAUGAAAACUUGUCUUAGGUGUAACAGCCUAUUUUUAGUGAAAUCGGAACAGUGAUUUCGGGACCACAAAUCCAAGCUGAAAUUUUUUUAUUUUAAUAUUAUUGCAUGGUCUGCAUUAUGAUAGGAUUGUUAUAUGAAAAUUUUGAUAAGAAAAAUUUUAUCAAUUAUGUGUUUAAUUAUGGAAAGGACCAAAUUGCAUAAAAUGAAAAAGUUGAGUUCU